AUGUGGCAUAGCGAAAUAAAUAUUUAUUAAUUCUGUAUGCUUGGCUUAAUUUCUUUUUUAAAGAAAUAACUACAUGUGCCAUCAUGACAGCCAUUUUACAGCUGACAUGCCUGGCAAAAUUUAGUGAAUCCACAAUAAAUGUGGCCUUUUGAUAACAACUGGGAAAAUAGUCUGAAGUAAAUGAAUUAUAUCAAUCUCACUUCUAAAGUGAGAUGAGAUCCUUUCCCUUACCAUGCCUGUAACAAUUGCCAUGCCACAUGCCUUUGCAUUUUUAUUCUUCUUAAACAUGCAUUUUCCAGGAGCACAAAGAAUGAAAAGCUUUAGUACAGCAAUGUUCUUGCAGAAGAGAUCAGCACAAUUACAUUAUUGUUUCUGAAUAGAAUAUCACCAGAUGUAAAUGUAAGUGCAAAUUUUGCCUCCCAAAGCUUUAAUUAUAGAAAUGGAAGCAGUGAAAAUAAUCACAGACCUGUAGUAAAGCAUUUGUUACUACAAAUGCUUUAGUAAAGUUUUAUACCUGACACCAAGUCAUGGUGGCAUGCUCAAUAGAGGACUGAUUCACCAUAACAGGUUGUGCUGCCUAUAUUUCCUCUUCUCUCAAGAUCUUUCCUCUGUUCAAUGUAUUGGCCCAUACUCCUCAGUCUUGUAAACCUGGCCUGUAUUCAAACUACCAAUAAUAAUAGCUAUCCAUUGGGGCUGAAUCAGCUAUCCAAGAUGCAAAACCUAACAUGAGGAUAGAAUUCAGCAUCUUGGAAAGAUCUUUUAAUAUUAAGGCUGCCUCACAGAUCACAUUUGCUGCCACUGCUGACAUCGCUAUAAGGGAACACUGCUGUAACUUGGAUUCUUACUGUUCUUAGCUUGUCUUAAUAAGUCAUAUAGAGAUGUAGCUGAUGAGGCUUCUAAAGUGAUGGUUGAACAUUUCAUGUCCUAAGUUUCUGUACAUCAAACAAUGCUUAAAGGCAUAAAAUUCUUGCUAGUAAACAAGUUAGGAACCUUGUUUGCCUGCCCAGUACAUGCUCUCUCAUCAGUCUUUCAUUUGAUUCCGUCUUCACAGCAAAGCAUUCCAGUACUGUAAUUGAACAGUGAUGGAAACAAAUAGCUAGCGAGUAAAAUAACAUUUGCAAAAGAGAACAUACAGGAGGGAAAGUGUUGCUUGCCACAAAUGAAGAACAGCGCAAAGCACAGUUGUGCUCUUAAUGCCUACUUGUAUAAACAAACACUUCCAUAAAGCAUUUGGCAGAAAUUGUACUUUAUCCUCCUCAAGUUAGAUUAAAUGCUUCAUUUUUUUCUUGGAGAUAAACUAGAAGCUACUGUUCUUAGAGAUAACUGCUGGCUUAAUCUUUUAUUAUGCCCUGUUUCCAGUUACUGUGUUAUUGGGUUGCUGUGAGUUCUCGAGGAUGUAUGGCCAUGUUCCAGAAGCAUUCUCUCCUGACAUUUCACCCACAUCUAUGGCAGGCAUCCUCAGAAGUUGAGGGGUCUGUUGGAAACUAGGCAAGUGAGAUUUAUAUAUAUCUGUGGGAGAAAGAACUCUUGUCUGCUCGAGACAAGUGUGAAUGUUGCAAAUGGCCACGUUGAUUAGCAUUUAAUGGCCUUGCAGAUUAAAUUCCUGGCUGUUUGCUGCCUGGGGGACUCCUUUGUUGGGAGGUGUUAGCUGGCCCUGAUUGAUUCUUUUCUGGAAUUCCCCUGCUCUUUGGGUGUUUUUGUUUAUUUACUGUCCUGAUUUUAGAGUGUUUUAGUACUAGUAGCCAGAUUUUUCUUUCAACAACAUACUGUUUUGUUGUUUAUAUUUUAUAUCUAUUUUUCACUGCACAGAGAAUUCUGUCUGUCCAACAGUAGAAUCCAUCAAUAAAUCAAUGGGACAAUUAUGUUUUUCUGUACACUGAGUAAAAAAUCUUCCUCCAUACAGAUUCAUUAUUUUUUCAUUUACCAUUUUAGGUAAUAUUAUCAUUCUGUCAUUCUAAAACACUACACUUAUAAGCUUCAUAAAAACAAAAAGCCAUAUUGGAUCUACCAUGUAUACAGCAAAAAAAUUUCACAUAGUGGCAAAGUAAUUACCUCUGAGAAGCCAACAGGUAAGGCAUGAGUCCAACAGCAUCCUCCUGGUUUUGCUCCCCAGCAACUGAUUGCAAAGAGACAUAUUGCCUCUGCUACUGGAAAGCUCCAUAUAUCCAACAUGACUAGUAGCUGCAGGUUAGCCCCAUUUUCCAUUAAUUUGUUCAGUCCUCUAUCAGAGCUAUCAAAGAUACUACCCAUCAUUGAAUCUCUAAGUAGCACAUCCCACAUUUUACCUAUACACUAUAAGAAAAAGUAUUUUCUUUUAUCUGUCCUAAAAUCAUACAACUGUAAUGUUGCAUGAGAAAACCAGCCCUGGGUCCUUGGGAUGUCUAGUUUACCUGGGCCAGGUCCCCACUCACUGAAGUCUCCUUUUUUUCUCCUUUUUUCUCUCUCUGACGCCUGCCGGAGUACUAAUCCAAUGAAAGGCAAAGAGCACUCCUUAGAUGCCUUGCCAUCAUCUUCCUCUGAAUGUUUAUAUGAUGUGCCAUGACAACCAGGGGUAGAUUACCCCUGGCCAUGACUUACUGGGAAGCCCGGCUUGUUAAAGGCGCGAAGAUCACUGCAGAUGCAGAUUAUAGCCAGGAAAUCAGAAGACGUUUACUUCUUGGGAGGAGAGCAAUGGCCAACCUUGACAAAAUAGUGAAGAGCAGAGACAUCACACUGGCAACGAAGGUCUGCAUAGUCAAAGCAAUGGUAUUCCCCAUAGUAACCUAUGGAUGCGAGAGCUGGACCAUAAGGAAGGCUGAGCAAAGGAAGAUAGACACUUUUGAACUCUGGUGCUGGAGGAAAAUCCUGAGGGUGCCUUGAUCCAACCAGUCCAUCCUCCAGGAAAUAAUGCCUGGCUGCUCACUGGAGAGAAGGAUAUUAGAGGCAAAGCUGAACUAUUUUGGCCACAUGAGGAGACAGGAAAGCUUGGAAAAGAUCACGAUGCUGGGGAAAAUGGAAGGAAAAAGGAAGAGAGGCCGACCAAGGGCAAGAUGGGUGGACGGUAUCCUUGAAGUGACUGGCUUGACCUUGAAGGAACUGGGGGCGGUGACGGCCGACAGGGAGCUCCGGCGUGGACUGGUCCAUGAGGUCACGAAGAGUCGAAGACGACUAAACAACUGAGCAGCAGCAUAUUUGUAAUAUCCACAUUCAGCUCUUGCACUGCUUUGUCAUUAUAUACCAUGCAUUCCCAACCAGGAAUCCAAGGUAGUUUACAACAAAGCUUUAAAAAUACAGCUAAAAACUCAAAGAAACAAAAGUAUUUUUAUAAGUAAAUAAAUUAGGUGUCAUGUAAAAACACCCAUAAUUUAAAAUUAGUAUGAAAUCAUUUAAAUAUAACAGUGAAGAUUAAAAAUAGCAAUCUUCUACAUUAAAAAGCAUCACUUAUAAAUAAUGAAAUGCCUGUGUAAAUAAAAAGGUGUUUACCUAGCAGCAGAAUGAGGGCAGAAAGGGGACUAUCCCACCCUUUCAUCAGAGGGAAUUCCAUGCCUGGGAGCUUCCAACAAAAAAGCCCUCUCAUAAGUCCUCACCGGAUAGGACCAUGAGAAAGCCCUAACCUGAUGGUUUAUAUAGGGAUAGACAGUCUUCCAGAUAGUCUGACCUAAGCAACAACACUAUUACACAUGCUUCUCCCUCUAACAAAAAUGCAGAGUUUCUGUUCACUUUUGUUUGCAUUAAAUUCUCAGUUUAGUAAACUUCAACAAUAUUUGUCUUCAAAGGGUUUUAUCCUUCCUUACAUUUGCAGCUCCUUCUUUCUCUCUGUAUAUUGCUUCUUACAGUUCAAUUCCCCAAAGUGAUUUCCCAACAUAUUAUAAUACCGUAGAUUAAAAUCAUAUCACUACGUUACUAACAUGUGAUUUAACCUGACACAUGAAAAUAACAGUGAUCAUCAAAAAGUACGGAAAUCUUAUACAACAGUGUUUCUUACCAGAAGCAGUCUUCAGUAUUGUUAAUCUUCUUAUAAAUGUAAGUAGAUUCCCAAGGGACAUCCUUGAAUAAUAAUCCUUUAUUUCCCCAGAAAUCAAUCAAGAAGUAGCUUAGUUUCCUGGCUGGAGUCAAUAUUCGUGUUAAAUAGUCUUUGAAGUCACAAGACACCCCAAAACUCCCAGCAGAGAUGACGGGGAGGCCUGACACAGUCUCUACUCUAAGAAAAAGUAGAAGCAAAUUAUUCCAACAGAGUUGCCUCUGGUGCUGAAAACUUCUAAAAUCAAUGCUACUGUGAAGAUCCUGUUGGUAACACAUUUUCUUUGACUUGAUUUAACUGCAAAGUAGAUACAGAAUCGAAAAAUCUUGAUGAAUAGUUCUUUCAGUAAAAGCAUUAGUACAUUUUGCAAGGCACAUGAUGCAGUGCUGAAAGAUCCUGUUGGUUUCAAUCUGCUUUGCCCUCCACAAUACAAAAUUAUGUCCUCCUUGCCCUCAGGUAUAAUGUUUUCCCCAUAAUCCCCACAAAAAUAUCUUGAGGGGCACUAUCUGUAGAUUUCCCCCCUCUCAAUUCUUUUUUGUUCUCGAACAAACAAAAGGGUUCUAAUGAGAGGUAUGAUGCCUACUUCUUGUGCACUACCGAGGCAAUUUUGUUACAUGAGUGGUUAAACACUGGAAAUGGAGGUACAAAUAAAGAAUGUAUGCAUGUAGCAGCUAGCAAUUCUGAUUAUAGAAAAGAGACAUCAGUGACCAUAGAAACAUACUAAGGGUGCAUCUACAGGGUUGUUUUGUGUUUUCCGGGCUGUAUGGCCAUGUUCCAGAAAUAUUCUUACAGCCUGGAAAACACACAACAACCCUGUGAUUCCGGCCAUGAAAGCCUUCCACAACACAGUGCAUCUACUCAUCUACACUGAUCAUUUACAUCAGUAUGACCUUAGAUCAGCCCUGUAGUGGCGAAAUACUGGGGCUGAUUCAGCUAAACCCAGGGAAUGGCUGCCUAAACAUGAAAUGUUAUUUUAGGGGUAAACACAAAUCCUCACCCAGGAUUCAGGCUUUCCCCACCUCCUGAGUUAUGGGGUAUGAAGACAACUAGGGCAUAUAAUUGUACUGGAGAACAUAGAGGUUCCCAGAGAGAACACUUUGCUAGGCCUUUGUAGGUUCUCCAGCAUGAUUCCAUUGUCUUCUUCCAGUGGAAAUUCACCCUAGAGUCAUGUUAGAAGGCCUACAGAGUCUUAGAGAGAUGCUCUCCCAAGUAAAAAAAAUAGAAUUUUUUAAUUUACAGUUUUGUCUUUUUAAUAGAAAUCCUGUGCCCCUAAUCCCAGCAAGUAGAAAAGGCUAACUCUUUAAUGUGAAAAAGUGGUCCUGAAACACAAUAGUCUACACAUGGGUCUGUUAGGAUCUCAAGUGGAAUCUGGAUUCACUGAAUAUUCACUGAAUAUUAAACUGAAUUUAAUGUGACACUUCAUACUGAUACUUACGAGACCAUCUGGUAUGUGGCAUAGGUGCAUGUGGGACCCAGGACAGCACACCCAAGGUCACCAUUACUCUGUAAUAGAAAAUGUCAACAUUAACAUCAGCAAAGGAUUGGAACUCAGAAAGAAAACAUUAUCUAGAUGCAAAGUACUGUUAUAGCACUGGAACAAGCAGCUUGUAAAUGCUAAUGAUUGCAGUUGGGAAAGAAAUAUGAUUACUGAGACAUCAUGAAGGGGAGGGCAAAGGACAGCCCAUGGGCCCCAAGCCCUUUUAUAAACAAAAUAUAAAAUAAGAGAAGCAUGUAUUUGUAUAGAAACAUGAGUGUCUACUUGAAAUUUUUUCACAUAUAAGAAUGGUAGUAUCAGUGGACAUAUUGCUAUAUAAUUUAACAAUGCGAUAGAAAACUUUUCCACUGUUAUAUUGUAUUUCCAAAGUCUUUGUUGCUGUGAGUUUUUCAGGCUAUAUGGCCAUGUUCCAGAACAUGGAACAUCUGGAACAUGACCAUACAGCCUGAAAAACUCACAGCAACCCAGUGAUUCCAGCCAUGAAAGCCUUCAACAACACAUAGCUUGGUCUUUGUUUACAUGAACUACAACAACAGUUUCCUUAAAAGUGCUUUAAUACUCACAUAAAGUUUUCUGAUGAUUUCCACACCUUCACAAGUGCUAGUGCGGCAGCCGUCUGAGACAUAGAGCGAUGUGUUAUUGAUUCCAUAAAGUGUAGCAUUGACAUUCAUGUUCAUAUUGUUCUCUGUAACAAAAAAAAUAGCAAUGCAAUUGCAGGACAUUUUAAAAUGCAAUGACCUGCAGGAUAUUUUGGAGGAAGACGAAGAAGUGAAGAGGAGGAAGAAGUGGAGAACAACAACAAUUAGAAUUUGAAUGAUUUUUAAGACAACUGUUUAGGUGUUGCUAUAAUGUUGGUCCUACUAGUUACUUUGUAAGGAGUUAUUCUAAAGACAGGUUUAAAUAAUUAAAAUAAAAUAAUUAAUAGUAGACAUAUGCUGAUUGUAAUAGAUUGAUGCAAUAUAUAUGUAGAAUUUCUAUAUUUAAAAGAAAUGUGGCAUAUUAAACCCAAGAUAACAUCCACUAGUUUUCCCACAAGGAAGAGAAACUGGCUGCUAUAUCUUCUUGUGUGUAUCUUUUUGUAUGAAAGAAAUUAUAUUCAUAUCUUUUUGCUUUGAUUAUGGUAGUAGAAAAAUGAUUCAGUGGUAACCUCUAAAAAUGUCAUAGCCUCAAGAAUAUUUUUCCAAUUUAAAAGGAAAUACUUAUUGGAGUGUUGAGAUGCUUUUAAUCAUUAAUUUUAAAUUUGUGUCCUUUGUUUAAUCUCUGUUUUGUGUAUUUUCAUAUGUAUUUUAUAGAAGUAUGUUUUAAUAUGUAUCUUUGGUACUCUUCCAUUAUCUGGGCGGAGACCACUAGGGGGUGCUAGAGAGAGAAAGCUAGUCCAUUUUACAGGGUGGAGGGUGGCUUGAAGAAGAAAAACCAUUUCCACGUUUUCCUGUUAUUCCCCCCACCCAUGUUCCUGUCGUGGAAACAACCCUAAUUUGUGAUAAGGGAAUUGGGGAGGGGGAAUAACAGCGAAAAUGGGGGAAAUGGUUUUUCUCCUUAAACUCCCUCCCUGUAAAAUAGACUAUCAUUCUCUCUUUAGCAUCUCCUAGUGGCUUUCACCUGGAUAAUAGAAUAGUACCCUAUCUUUUUUUAGAAAUACAAUUUAAUAUGUGUAUUUGUGGUAUUUUUACAAUGUUUUUGUGUUUUAAUUAUUCUCUAACAUGCUCAAGCCAUGAAGAGAGGUGGGUAAGAAAUAAAAUGGUGAUGAUGAUGAUGAUAAUGAUGAUGAUGAUGAUGAUGAUGAUGAUAAAAAAUAAUAAUAGUAAUCUGUCUUUCAAAAAAUGUAUAGUUAAGAAGGGGGGGGAGACAACAGGAAAUGAGAUAAAUCUGCCCCUAGGAAGAGAAAUUCACUUCUGAAAGAGUUGUCAUGAGGAAGAGGUGUCUCUACUGAAGCUUUCUUACCAAUCCUUGUUUAUAUAUCAAGCCGAAUUUUUUGAAAUCCAAUUAACACACAGGGCAUACACGUCAAAACAAACACCAUAGGGAUAUUAACCCUUCCCAAUGUGGGGAAAUGGACCUUGAUUCUGCGAGUUGUAGUUCACUUCCAUCCAGAGAAACAGUGACCACCAUCAACAAUGGACUGGGACCAAACUUGGCACAGAGAAGCCCCUUGAUCAACUGAACAUACUGCAGGGGUUUAGGGGAAUGGGCCUUGAUUUUGGGAGUUGUAGUUCACCUGCAUCCAGAAAACCCUGAACCCAGCUGACAUCUGAUCUGGACGAAACUUGGCACUCGGACCCAACAUGGCCAAUUGCAAAUAAUGGUGGGGUUUGGGGGUGAUUGCCCUGGGAAUCUGGGAAGUGUAGUUCAUCCUUAUCGAGACAGCACUGAACCCAGCCAACGACAGAUCUGGACCAAAAUUCAGUGAUAUUACCUAACACCCAAAACAAACUAUGCCUUCUUCUAAUAACCUGGGUACCACCAGGUCCCCAAGCUACUAUACAUAUAUAUAGAUCGACUUGCAUACAAAUUCAGUUUAAGAACAAACCUACAUAACCUAUCUUGUUCAUAACUUGGGUUCCAAUCUUUAUGUAUUUUUAAUAGUAGGGUUGAGCGAAAAAAUCAUAAAAGUUGUUGAUCGCAAUAAAUUCAUUAAUCGUA
Molecule: long non-coding RNA, 8135 nt
Organism: Anolis carolinensis (green anole)
Lineage: Eukaryota; Metazoa; Chordata; Lepidosauria; Squamata; Anolidae
Exons: 2
Source: RefSeq, a predicted model, not a curated record